UACGGAGGGUGCAAGCGUUAUCCGGAUUCACUGGGUUUAAAGGGUGCGUAGGUGGGUCUGUAAGUCAGUGGUGAAAUCUCCGGGCUUAACCCGUAAACUGCCAUUGAUACUACAGGUCUUGAAUUUUCAGGAGGUAAGCGGAAUAUGUCAUGUAGCGGUGAAAUGCUUAGAUAUGACAUAGAACACCAAUUGCGAAGGCAGCUUACUACAGGAACAUUGACACUGAGGCACGAAAGCGUGGGGAUCAAACAGG
RNAcentral lists this ribosomal RNA (253 nucleotides) under uncultured bacterium. RNAcentral's name for it is "partial 16S ribosomal RNA". It matches the Rfam family "Bacterial small subunit ribosomal RNA", at positions 524 to 776 of the family's 1533-position model. The record is from RNAcentral.